This 208-nucleotide unclassified non-coding RNA is filed under the name plant metagenome. Its description in RNAcentral is "partial contains small subunit ribosomal RNA, internal transcribed spacer 1, and 5.8S ribosomal RNA". The record is from RNAcentral.
GUAGGUGAACCUGCGGAAGGAUCAUUCAUAAUAAGUGUUUUAUGGCACUUUUUUAAAUCCAUAUCCACCUUGUGUGCAAUGUCAGGGUUGAUUUUUCUCUCGAGAGGAUCAGCCCCAAACAUCAACUAUAUCUCAACUCUUUGUCUGAAAAAUAUUAUGAAUAAAACAAUUCAAAAUACAACUAUCAACAACGGAUCUCUUGGCUCUC